Molecule: long non-coding RNA, 7144 nt
Organism: Callithrix jacchus (white-tufted-ear marmoset)
Lineage: Eukaryota; Metazoa; Chordata; Mammalia; Primates; Cebidae
Source: RefSeq, a predicted model, not a curated record
UACAGUGUGCCACUGGCAGGAAGGUGCCAGCUCAGUUCAGUGCCUUGCAUAGCAGGGCACUUGGGGAAACAGAAUUUGUAUUGUUGACAUUUGACAUCGUAGAUUUGUCCACUUACUACGAUAGUUUCCCACAUACCCUUGCUGUUGAUUUCUGUGACUCUGUUGGUAUUUGUACACAGUACAGACAUAAAAGCUCUUGUUUCCUUCUGGAGAGAGGAACUGGGGAAGAAGCUUCUGGAGAGGAGAAAAAUAGGGAAGACAGAAGGGCUGGCAUGCUUUCUACUCUCUAGCCCAGUGGUCACGGGGCCAAUGACCAAUGCAGAUAAAAAUACUCUUCAUUGAGUCUCAGCAGUGAAUUUUCUCAGGGCCCAGGGGCAGCUUGCUGGCAAAGGGACCCUUCUCUCCCCUGCCUCACAUUCAGCACUUUUGUGGCAUCAGAGAACUGCAGACCUUGGGGACAGGUUCUCCUUGACAAAUAAGAAUGCAGAUGUCACUCAAGUGUAUGAUACGAAAAUCUUUCCCAGAACUGGGAGUAUCCAGAACUAACCACACAUGAGAACUGUUUUUUUUCAAGGUAUUCCCUGGCCUCUUGGCCCUCUUCACCCCUCCUCACCAGGACUCCAGGAUCCUCCUGUCUGGAAAAUAGUGUUCUGCUCACCUACUUCAUGCCAAGAUGUUAGUUAAUAUCUGUCUCUGCAGAAAGUCUGCUUUUAGAAAAUGUACCGAAAGUGGAUGUUAAUACAGCUACGUGUGGAAGAGAUACUAAGGCAAGGAUUGGAAUUUCAAAUGCCUACAGGAGUCAAGAGGAUACUGUAAAGUUGACUAGAUGCAGGCAGCAAUAGGGAGUGGUGGAGACUGUGGCAAACUGAAGAACACAUGCCUCAUUCAAAGGGAAUAGUUACCACCCAGCUCUAACUAACUGUUGCCAUAUCAUAUCCCAUAUUGGGCCCAAAUUCUUUUGAUUUUUUUAAGGGCAGCCAGAAAUCAAGUGUCUUCUAUGAUGUCUUCUGAUUUUCAAAGAUUUGUGAUUAAAUACUUUCAAUAAGCAUUGUAAAGGGCCUAUGAAAUCUGCCCAGCAGUUCCAUUUGGCCCACUUGGCCUCAGCUUUAUAUCAAGGCUCACCUGGUGAGGUGUGUGGUAACCUGGACAGGUAGUGCUUACGAUAUCAGCUUUUGCUCUUGACAUUUGUGGAGCUAGAAGAGUCCUGCUUUGUUACAGAUAAGAUACUAUGGCCCACAGCAGACAAAUGGCUCACUCUCAAUCACACUAUCACUCUCUUAGGCCAAGAAUGCCAGAGUUGGCUGGGCACGGUGGCUCACACCUGUAAUUCCAGCACUUUGGGAGACCAAGGUGGGCAAAUCACAAGGUUCGAGACCAUCCUGGCCAACACAAUGAAACCCCAUCUCUACUAAGAAUACAAAGAUUAGCUGGGCAUGAUGAUACGUGCCUGUAAUCCCACCUAUUGAGGAGGCUGAGGCAGGAAAAUCACAUGAACCUGGGAGGCAGAGGUUUCAGUGAGCUACAGUGCACUCCAGCCUGAGUGGCAGAGCGAGACUCUGUCUUAAAAAAAAAAGUUAAAAAAAAGCCAGACUCCUGCUCUUCAUGACUUCAAAGUCAUUGAGUCCUCAGUCUUUAAAACAAUAGUCAGUAGGCAGCUAUUGAUUUGGCAAGACGACAACAACAACAAAAACAACAGGCAAUGUCUCUGUCUGUCCCAUUGUUUGCCUCUGAGAAAGGCCCUUGGUGAGUGGAAACACUCUGUCAGGUGGGUAAAUCAGAGCAAAAGAUGCUGUGUCCACACUGGUUUCUGGCUGGUUAGGGGAAUAGUACAAAUGGAUAAUGUUCUUCAUGAAUUUAUCUCACAUAUCAUAGAACUUACUCUACAAGAUCGUACACUAAUCAUUUACAGAGUGAGCUGAAAUCCCUAAAUAACCCAGGCGGAGAAAAUCACCGCACUGCUGAAUACUCUUUUUAUUUAUGAGCAGGUGCACAUUCUAGACACCUGAGUCAGGCCCAGAGGGAGAAAGUUUCCUUAAUCUGCAGUUGACAUAGGAAGAUUUCUGUCUGUGUCAUGCUCUGAAUGUGUCUGUCCUCUUCCCAAUUCUAAAGUGCAAAUGGUCUAACCCAGUCAGCAGGAAAAAAAAUGCAGGUAUAAAAUUUAGCAUUCUCUCAACACAGCAUUUGUUCAUUCUAACCUCACCUUUUGCAAAUACACCUUUAGAGCUCUUAACACUUAAGCUACUUACUUAUGUUAUUGAUAAUGGUUCCAAAACAAAUAUCAGACUUUAAGUGAUUUCAACCCUUCUUGCAUAAACUCUGAGCUCUAGCUUAUGAGAACAUUGCAGAGAUAGCCAGAAUUAGCUUUUUGCUAAUUUGUAAUAUUAUGGCUUCUAGGGCUUUUAAGUCUUAGAAACAAUUUCUUUUCUAUGAAGGGUCUUCAAAGGUUCAUAGAAAACGCAUAUUGUGGAAAAAAAACUACAUGUGGAUUUCAAAAUUUUUUUGCACCAAAAUAAACUCAUACUAACUUGUUACAACAUACCUGAAGAUGAUCUAGUUUAAGGCACUAAGAAUAAGACAUAUGCCAGGCAAGGAGACUCGUGCCUGUAAUCCCAGAACUUUGGGAGGCUGGGGCAGGUGGCUCACAAGACCAGCGUGGGCAACAUGGAGAAACCUUGUCUCUACACAAAAAAAAAAAAAUUAGUGGGGCAUGGUGGUGUGUGCCUCUAGUCCGAGCUACUCAGGAGGCUGAGGUGGGAGGAUCACCUGAACCUGAGAGGCAGAGGUUGCAGUCAGCCAACAUCACAGCACUGCACUCCAACCUGGGUGACAGAGCAACAGUCUGUCUCAAAAAAAAAAAAAAAAAAAAAAAUAAGAAGGAUAAGAUAUAAAUUCAAAGAGAGUACAUAUCAGAGCAUUAAGAAUUCUGCUAAAAUUGAAGCAAGAACAAACAUGAAAUUUAUGGUGAAACUUGGGUGGAAGAAUGGUGAAAUCACUGAUGCUUUAUGAAAAGUUUAUGGGAACAAUGCACCAAAGAAAUCAGCAGUUUACAAAUGGAUAACUCAUUUUAAGAAGGGUUGAGAAAACGUUGAAGAAAAAGCCCAUGGCAGCAGACCAUCCACAUCAAUUUGUGAGGAAAAAAUCUUGUUCAUGCUCUAAUUGAAGAGGACCAAUGAUUAACAGCAUAAAUAGUCAACACCAUAGACAUCACAACUGGUUCAGCUUACACAUUUCUGACUGAAAAGUUAAAGAUGAACAAACUUUCCACUUGAUGGGCACCAAAACUGUUGUACCCAGAUCAGCUGCAGACAAGAGUAGAGCUUUCAAUGAAAUUUUUAAACAAAUGGGAUCAAGAUCCAGAAGCAUUUCUCCUAAGAAUGUAACAGGAGAUAAAAUACUGGUUUACUGAUAUGAUCCUGAAGACAAGACAUAAUCAAAGCAAUGGCUACCAAGAGAUGGAUGUGAUCCAGGGAAAGCACGAGCAGAGCAGUCAAAAGCAAAGACCAUGGCAACAGUUUUUGGGAUGCUCAAGGCAUUUUGCUUGUUGAGUUUCUGGAGGGACAAAGGACAAUAAGGUCUGCUCAUUAUGAGAAUGUUUUGAGAAAGUUAACCAAAGCUUUAGUAGAAAAAUGCUCAGGAAAGCCUCACCAAAGAGGCCCUCUCCAUUAUGACAAUGCUUCUGUUCAUUCCUCUCAUAAAACAAGGGCAAUGUUGUGAGAGUUUCAAUAGGAAAUCAUUAGGUGUCCACCCUGACUUCUUUUUGUUUCCUAAUUUUAAAUAUAAUCAUAAAAGGGCACUCAUUUUUCUUCAGUUAAUAAUGUAAAAAUGACUGCACUGGCAUGGUUAAGUUCCCAGGACCCUCAGUUCCUUAGAGAUGAAUUAAAUGGCUGGUAUCAUCACUUAUAAAAGUGUCUUGAACUUGAUGGAACUUAUGUUUUUUGUUUGUUUUGUUUUGUGAAGCAGGGUCUCACUCUGUCAUCCCAUUGGAGUGCAGUGGCAUGAUCUCCACUCACUGUAACCUCUGCCUCUCAGGCUCCAGUGAUUCUCCCACCUUAGCCUCCCUCCCAAGUGGCUGGGACUACAGGCAUGCACCACCAUGCCCAGCUAUUUUAUUUUUAUUUUUUUGUCGAGACAGGGUUUUGCCAUGUUGCCCAGGCUGGUCUCAAAUUCCUGGGCUCAAGUGAUCUGCCUGCCUUAGCCUCACAAAGUGCUGAGAUUACAGGUGUGAGCCAGAAGCUUAUGUUGAAAAUGAAGUUUGUAUUUUCCAUUUUAAUCUUUUAAUUCCAUUUUUCCACUAACUUUAUGAAGUCUCUUUAUAUUAUGCUUUCUGACCUUGUCAGCUGUCUAAUAAGAUUGGAAAAGCAGGGAUUAUUAUUCACAUUUGAAAGAUAAGAAAGUCCAGCAAGGGAGACUGACUGUGUGACCCACUGAGAUGACAUGAACAAGGUGUCUCCCUAUCCCCAUGUUUUUUUUAUGUAAAGCAAUUAUGAUCUAAGAAAUCUGUAGCUCACAUUCCAAAACAGAGCUGAACUCCAUUACUACAAAAUAGAUUCUUAUAUUGCCUUAGAUAUUCUGUGGGCAAAAAAUAGACCUACUGAUAUAUGCCUUCAUAUUCAUAUUGAUUCUAUAAUACCUGUAGAUCUAAAUCAUAAGGAUUAUUUAUAGCAUUAUACUAAAAAAAAUCAAAUAAGAAACAAAAAACAACAAACCAGGUACAGUGGCAGAUGCCUGUAAUCCCAGAACUUUGGGAGGCUGAGGCCUCCCUGAUCACCUGAGGUCAGGAAUUUGAGACCAGCCUUGACAACAUGGCAAAACCCCUGUCUCAACUGAAAAUACAAAAAUUAGUCAGGCAUGGUGGCAUGUGCCUGUAAUCCCAGCUACUAGGGAGGCUGAGGCAGGAGAAUCACUUGAUCACAGGAGGCAGAGGUUGCAGUGAGCUGAGAUUGCACCACUGCACUCCAGCCUGAGUGACAGAGUGAGACUUCAUGUCAAAAAAAAAAAAAAAAGGCCACAAUUUCUGAUAUUCUUGAAUGACAUGAGAAAGCUUUUUCUCUCUCCAUUGGAAUCCAAAUGAGAGAGCACAUCCUUCCAACCAGGAGCAGCCAAACAGGUGGUCUUGACAUGUUCUCUUCCUAUGACCUCCUUACUCUAUUUUUAAGUAAAAACAAAAAACAUGAGAGAAUAUUUUGCAAUGGCCAUAGUGUUCAAGGAAGAGGUGAGAGAGGCCUCAGCUCUCAGAGGGACAAGGUAGGGAUAGAUGACAAAGUUUGUACCUGGUAAAAGGAAAGGGAAAUGACCAAGAGAAGACCUAAGAAGGGGGACAAGGGUGCUGGGUAUAGGAUGGGACACCAAAUAUGAGGUCACAUUUUUAAGUUCAACUUAUAUUUCGUUGUUUGAUGUCAAUAAUCUAACAGUAUUCUUUUCUACAGUGUACAUCUUAAAUUUAUGGUUAUCAAUUGCCUUAUUCUUACAUGUGCUUUUGUGGCCCAGCCUGGAAACUCUCCCUAUUUAUUAUGCAAGUUCUGUAACAUAAUAUGUUCAAACAGUUGAAGUAAAAAUAUGUUUUAGGGCCAGGCACAGUGGCUCACGCCUGUAAUCCCAGUACUUUGGGAGGCCGAGGUGGGCGGAUCAAUUGAGGUUAGGAGUUCGAGACCAGCCUGACCAACAUGGAGAAACCCCAUCUCUACUCAAAAUACAAAAUUAGCUGGGUGUGGUGGCACAUGCCUGUAAUCCCAGCUACUCUGAAGGCUGAGGCAGGAGAAUCGCUUGCACCCUGGAGGCAGAGGUUGCAGUGAGCUGAGAUCAUGCCAUUGCACUCCAGCCUGUGUAACAAGAGUGAAACUCAUAAUAAAUAAAUAAAUAAAUGUUUUAGGAAUACAACAUGUCAGUUGAAGACUAUUGGUAAGUACAGUGACAAUCCUGGAAUGAACUGUGAAUGUGGGUUAUGAAUCAUAGAAUUGCUUUAAGAAAUAGCAUAGGCCAACUAGUAUUCAAUGUUGUACCACAUUCAUUUAUCACUGCACCCCAGUCCCUGACAUGGGAGGCAUUGGGAGCUUCUGGAAAAAUAUGGUCAGAAGCAGUCUUACAUCCCAUGGGGACUAACAUACCCCAUGCUUAGCAUAUGUUUGUGUAUUUUUAACAGAUUAAGGUAUAAAAUAAUUAUAUUCAGAUCGCCACACAGCCCACAACAAAUGUGCUUUGUUGCUAAAACAAAUGUAUUUAUAUACAACACAAAUCAUCUAUAAUAAUAAAUUAUUUAACUGGCCCCAGACCCUAUGACAAUUUCUCAUAAAGGAAAAAUCCUUCAGUCAUUACAGAGGGCUCUAUGGAAUCCCCCUGCUAAGCAUGGUUGCAAGUAUGGCAGACGUGCAACAGGCAGGCGUCCCUGCUCUCAAAGGGCUUAAAUCUUGAAGGAAGGAGAUAGAUAAAAAGCAAAAUAUAUAGGACUUUAGAUAGUGCAAUGUGCUAAGGAGAAAAAAAAAACUAGGAAGGGAAAUAGGAAUUUUCAAAGAGGUAGAAUGGGUUUGGAAGCCCUCAACUGAGACGGGACGCUUGAGCAAAGACCUGAAGGCAGUGAAGGAUCCACCACAUGGGCAUCUGAAGUGAAGCUUUCAAGGCAGAAGAAACAGAGGUGGAGAGGACCUGAAACAGAAGGGUGUCCAGCAUAGGCAAGGAAUGUGGAGGAGCCCAAGGAGGUGGUGGAGUGCGGGGAAGAUAGUGGCCAAGAAGCCUGAAGGGUCAUAUUUUAUAUGUGUCCUAUGUGGAGAGAGGGAAGAAAUGUAUCCAGUCCAACUGUCUGAUACUGUUCUCCCAUCAAAUCCAAAUUCCUCUUUAGCUUUCCUCAUCUCCAUGUAGAUCACUCACGCAGAUAAAACCAUCACCCUCAAAUAUCAAAGAUGGUCAGUUCUUUGGCAUGGAGUAUGUUUAUUUCUUUCUGGUCAUGCACAGCAUUGGCACACAUUAGCUGAGAGGGCUAAGCAGAAUCAACUGAAUUUGCUUUGUCUCCUCCUCUCCAUUCCUACACCCCUCACCCACCCUAAACCCUCAGCAUCUCUCCUCUGGGUUACCAGAAAAACCUUGAGCUCUGGUCCCACCUCCAGUGUCUGUGGCUUUCAGCCAUGCUACACAGCUGCCCCAGCCACCUCCC